This 496-nucleotide ribosomal RNA is filed under the name uncultured bacterium. Its description in RNAcentral is "partial 16S ribosomal RNA". It matches the Rfam family "Bacterial small subunit ribosomal RNA", at positions 28 to 506 of the family's 1533-position model. The record is from RNAcentral.
GAUGAACGCUGGCGGCGUGCCUAAUACAUGCAAGUCGAGCGAAAAGACGCUGCGCUUGCUCUUCUCACGUUAGCAGCGGACGGGUAAGUAACGCGUGGAUUACCUACCUAUAAGACUGGGAUCACUUCGGGAAACCGGAGCUAAUAACGGAUAAUAUAUUUAACCGCAUGGUUGAAUAGUUAAAGACGGUUUUGCUGUGACCUCUAGAUGUAUCCGCGCCGCAUGAGCUAGUUGGUAAGGUAACGGCUUACCAAGGCAAGGUUGCGUAGCCGACCUGAGACGGGGAUCCGCCACACGGGAGCUGACAGACGGACCAGGCUCGUACGGGAGGCAGCAGUAGGAAAGCUGGCGGAAUGGGGGAAAGCUUGACGGAGGAACGAAGCGUGAGGGAUGAAGGUCGUCGGGGGGUAAACCGCUGUUAUGUUGGAAGAACAAAUGUGUAGGUAACAAGGCUCUUGUGGACGGUACCAAAUCAGAAGGCCACGCUAACCUCCGU